UGGGGAAGGCUUGGCAGGGAAGA
RNAcentral lists this microRNA (23 nucleotides) under Homo sapiens (human). RNAcentral describes it as "hsa-miR-6780b-5p". The record is from miRBase by way of RNAcentral. Lineage: Eukaryota; Metazoa; Chordata; Mammalia; Primates; Hominidae.